Molecule: ribosomal RNA, 497 nt
Filed under: uncultured bacterium
Lineage: Bacteria
Description: partial 16S ribosomal RNA
Rfam family: Bacterial small subunit ribosomal RNA
Source: RNAcentral
GAUGAACGCUGGCGGCGUGCCUAAUACAUGCAAGUCGAGCGAACGGACGAGAAGCUUGCUUCUCUGAUGUUAGCGGCGGACGGGUGAGUAACACGUGGAUAACCUACCUAUAAGACUGGGAUAACUUCGGGAAACCGGAGCUAAUACCGGAUAAUAUUUUGAACCGCAUGGUUCAAAAGUGAAAGACGGUCUUGCUGUCACUUAUAGAUGGAUCCGCGCUGCAUUAGCUAGUUGGUAAGGUAACGGCUUACCAAGGCAACGAUGCAUAGCCGACCUGAGAGGGUGAUCGGCCACACUGGAACUGAGACACGGCCCAGACUCCUACGGGAGGCAGCAGUAGGGAAUCUUCCGCAAUGGGCGAAAGCCUGACGGAGCAACGCCGCGUGAGUGAUGAAGGUCUUCGGAUCGUAAAACUCUGUUGUUAGGGAAGAACAUAUGUGAAAGUAACUGUGAACAUCUUGACGGUACCUAAUCAGAAAGCCACGGCUAACUACGUG